AAGAAUUGAGUCACUAUCUGCUCCGAGAGGCAGCUGAAGCUUGGCCAGUCCUCCAGUGCUCUCCGGAGAGGGCGCUGCCAGUCCCCAGCCAAACAGGCAGGAGGCAUGGAGGGGAGACAGCCUUGGGCACUGAAUGGGAACUAAGCAUCCUGAACUAGGUUAAAGAUGAGAAUAUGAGAAUGAUGGGAUUAAACCAUUUGAUCGACUAUAAAGGCUACACCCCAUCUCCACACAAUGUCUGUCUUCACUAGAGCCGUGUAUUUCAGAUGGUUAUCCUGAGCUGGCUACGACUGUGCAUCACAUACCCAAGAACUACAUGCAGACAUUUUAGGUCUGGGUCUAGAAGGGUACUGAAUAGCAGUGUCUGUGGUAUACAUCAUCUCACAUCAAACAAUAUACACUGGUUUCUGCAGAUGUUUUUAAAGAACCUCUUCCUCCAGAAGGAGCUUUGAUGUGGGACAGGAACUAAGCUGCCCUGAGCCAUCCAGCCUGUGGAUGUAAUGAGGCAAGCUGCUGCAAUGAGCCUCUCUCUGUUUGCUCAUCAGGGAAUCAGGAGUAUUGUGUAUUGUGUAUGGCCAAGACCACCAGAGCUCUAUCUGAGGUGCUCAGGUAGUGUCACAGAGUGGCAGCGAAAUGUCCAAGAUACUACAGAAAUUGCUGAGAAAUUAAAGUUGUGUGUGGUUGA
Molecule: non-coding RNA, 685 nt
Organism: Anas platyrhynchos (mallard)
Lineage: Eukaryota; Metazoa; Chordata; Aves; Anseriformes; Anatidae
Source: RefSeq, a predicted model, not a curated record